AUUUUCUUCCUCAGACAGACGGUGCCUCAGAUGGCAGCGACCUGCCAGCGCCUGUCCCCAGCAGCUCUCUGCCACCAUGGACUGAAUCCAGCAAGUUCAGCCAGACAUGACUGAGGAGCAGUCCAGAAAUAUCCUGUGGACAGAAGGGAUAAGGGCAAGGUUACUGGCUGGAGGGGUUGGACUCAUUCCCAUCGGCUGUCGAGCUUGCUAGAGAAAGGCUGAUUUUCCACCCUUCUUCACAUUGUUCUUUGAAGAAUUCCUGCUAUUUCAGCAGCAGCAACACUACUUGUACCUGCUGGGGGCUCUGGUAACCACAAAAGCACAACCUGAGUGAUGGAAGACCUGCAAAAAACACGCAGGAAUGUACAAACCAAAGAAGGAUUUUACAAGGACCUCAGCUGCUUCCUUGCUAAUUGCACUGCCUUACGCGACAAAGCUGUCUUCCUAACCCCAGCAAAAGCUGCUUAUUACUCGAGAUGGUGAUUUCCAAUCUCUUGUCAGAAUAGCUCCUGGCAUCCUGAGUGCAAGCCACUGAUGGCUGGAUAGACUUCAUGCAAGUUUAAUGAAGCACAAGUCUCCAGACAUCUGUCCCGAGGAACUGAUCCUUCCUGGCUGGCUCAGAGAAUCCACACACCUCCACGGGAAGGCGGUUGUUGUGUGUUGUACACCCAGACUACCCAACGCAGGAGCUGUUUAAGCACACUACAGAGCGCCAAUUAAAGGAGAAGCCCAUACAAUCCUACAAAAGAGCAUGAAAGUAAACAUGGGAGACUUGUCAGGAGCGGUCCCGUUCUGUGUCACCGCGCUCACCGGGCGUGACAGCCCCUGCUAGCUGAAGGUAAUUGAAGCAGGUGCCGUAUUAAUAUUUAUAAGCCCUCACUAAAAUCCUACGUGAUCUGCUCAUGCGAGAUGCUGCAUGUGGAGCACUUGCUGUGACCUGGCUCUCCAGUGCCCUCCCUUCUCCCAUGCUUCUUGUGCACAUUAUGCACAUUGGCAAUGGAAUUUCGCAUUAUUCAUAAGUUGCUUUUUAUAUCUCAAAGAGAUGUCAAUGUCCCUGUUCCCCCUAGAUCUGGCCAGGGAGCCUCUCAAAAAGGAUCUCUGCUCAAACAGGCUUAAAAUUAAUAACCAAACCAGCAGGAUUUCCAUGAGUGACACCAGUGGGAGUGUUUCUGACCGAAACCAGCCAGGACAAGACCCUCCACCUGGCACGGCCGCAGCUCCCAGCUCCAUCUGACAUUCUGCUGGUGUAGCAGCCUACUCAGAAAAGGAAACCAAAAGGAACCACUGUGAAGUCUCAGCUGAUCUCUCGAGAGCACAAGGACAAAAUACUUCCCGGGCAGUCCUGCAGUGUAUCGCACACUGUGCUGCAGAACUGCAGGGUCUGAUCGGAGAAGAGCUGCCAUCCCGGAGCAUCCGGUGACACUGUGGGAUGGGAACAUUGUUUUUUCAUUGCAGCUUCAGAAAAAAAAUAGAACAGGAAUGUGAAGCCUGGGGACAGGUGGACGGGAGUAUUGAGAAGCUUCCAUUUCAGAGGCUCGGAGAGUAGCACAGAUGUAUGACAGUGUCUUGGAUAUGUGUUGAGACCUUUUCCAAUCAAUUAUUUUGUGGCAGUAGGAUUCAUGUGUCUAAACACAGGUGUGCCUGCAGCUCACCACAUGCAAUGAUGCCUUCUGGUCAGCCAUGGGCUAGAAAAGAGAGUUAAAAUAACAGUGCUUGCAGAGCAGUGGUUUCCAAAUGGUUGCUUGGGCAUUUAAAUAAUUGGGUCUAGGAAUUCCUGCAGGGAAUGACAUGCCAGGGUGCCUGGGAAAAGCUGGUCAAAACAUUCUUUAUGAAAACAGGAAAAAUCCAUUGCAGUACAAAUGGAUAUGGUUAAUAACCUCCUUUGACAUGUUAGCAAUGAAAUAAACAAUUCCCGUGGAGGAACACGGAGCGUAUCACCAGACGGUCGGGUGGGCAAGCAGCGUUGAUUUGUUUUGUUGGCUCACUUAGUUUCUGGCCCUUGUUUCAUUCUGUCGCUUCACAGUGACAGUGAACACCCCAGGAGCUGGCUCCAGGCUGCAGGAUGAGGCCCCAGGUCCUCCUCUGCUCCUCAGGGCAUCGUUACUGCACUGACCAGAGCCCCAGUCCCCCAUGCUUGGGAAGAGUGAGGCUUCCCAUAGCAGCCUUCUGCUUAAAGACUUCCUCACACCAGUAGAAACUGGUGCUGAUGAUGAGACCUCACCAGUUAUACUGCUCAGGAAAGGCAUCGUAUGGGCAAAGGGAAACUCUUUCAUGGAAAUGCUCAGGGAAGUGAAAGCAAAAGGUAUAAAUUUAGCUAAACUGGCACUAAACUCUAUUUUGAGUCUCCUAAAUGAAGGUAAAUUGAACCAAGGUCCCUUUGAUUCUGAAACCAUUUUAGAGCUUUAAUGAUUCAGCUAAUUGUUUUGCCUGAUUGAUAAUGCAUAAUUCAUUGUGAAUUUAAACUCCACAGAACUCAGGUAUUUUUUUUGGUGUGACAUUUUAGUUCUUCACACGCAGGGAAUCGUCACAUGGCUGUAGGGAGGCAGAGAGCCAGAGGGAGAUCAACCUGUUGGAGGGUUUGCAGCAGACCUGGAGUCAAGAGUCUCUUCAAAUCCAUAUUAAUUAAUUAUAUUUCAAUGCUCUGAGCUCUGGGGAAUACUGCAGUGGGGGGGUUCUCAGAUGCUGCUGGCUGUGCCCCCUGUGAGCGAGGUGGGUCGGUCUGUCCAUUCACAGACCACGGCGCUGGGAGGUGAGCCCCAGGCUGCUGCUGCUGGGGGCCCUGACACAGUGUGGGGCAGCCCAUGGUGUGUCCUGCCAUGACCCUGCUGCUGGGGAGGGAGAUGCUGCUGCCAACGUCCCCGUGCUUAGCAACAGGACUGAGGCAAAGGCUCAUGCUAUUAAAUAACUUGCUUUAUCACACUCAAAUCCAUCAUAUUUAGAAAUACUUGUUCUCUGACCACUUUAUUUUGAAAACCUUGGUGAGUUAUUUGCUUAUCACAGGGGAGCACUGUGCUUACAGGAGCAGGGGUUUUGUCUGCACUUGGUUUGCUCUUCUAGGCUUUACUGUGUUCUUGUCCGCCUGGCACUUCACAUUGUUACUGGCUCACAUCAAAUACUCCAGAACUGUCUCUGGGAUGUAAGUGUGCUUUUCUUUUCUCCCACAGAUGCCUACUGGCAGCAACAGUAAGAAAGAUUUCUCCCUACAUAAAACGAAAGGAGAGGUGAGCAGAUUUGUUCUGCCAGCAUGGUGAUAAACCACGAGAAACUGAGCUCCAUCUGCCAGCCCUGGCGAGGCAGAUCUUCACCAGCUUUCACAUCUGAAGUGGAGACCAGCAGCAUUGCUGCACUAUGUGGGCAGGGAUGAGCCAGGGAGACAUUUCCCAGCAUGGUGAGAGCAAUUCUCUUCCUUUCUCAGGCAGUUUUUUAAGUAUUAGCAACCAUGGUAACUGGAGUAGAAGUGUAACCAGUCCGCUGUGCUUUCGGUUUGACACAAUUAUCUUUGCAGAACAGUCAUGUUAAAAAUAAACAGGACUUGCACCAGAUUCCUCAACACCUUGCUCUGUUCCAUGUGGGAGACUGGCUGAAAGUUGGGUGUAGUUUGGACCAGUGCAUUGCAUGCUGAGGCCUGUGCAGUGGGUUGGUGUUGGUGGCAUGUCUGCCGAUUACCAUCAUUCCUCAUUGACCUGCAUCUGGGGAAGAAGAAGAUGACCUUUGCGGUGCUUCCAUGUCCACUGAUGUGGAGCAGGAGAGGGCUUCGGGGUGGAUGUGCCCUGCUUCAAUGACGAAACAUCAGGAUCUGGGGGGUGAUGGAGCAGCAAAAGCCUCCAUGCACCUGCGAGGAGAUCUGACAGUGAUCACCAAGGAAACUAAGAAACACUGGUGGCUCCUCAUGUCUCCAGUAAUUUGAGUUAGAUGCUCCUGGUUGGGGGCAGUGUGCUUCAAUUGAGUCAAGGACAAGAAGCAUCAAGUGGUGCCAGAAGCAAAGGGUGGUUUUCCCCCUGGACUGCUUGAUGUGCUCAUGAUGAACCGUGUGUGUUUGUGUGGCCAAGGUAAACGUCCGGGUUAGUGGCACUUCAUGGACAUCGUGAUGAUCUCCUGUUCCCUGCCCCAUCCUCUAAGCAGUCUCUCUGGGUUUUUUUGGUAUACCACUUGGAGAGCUUACCCUGCGCAGUUUGUGUUUUUCUUGCUUUGGGAAUAAAUAGAUGACAGUGUCAAUCCAGGACAUUUCACCAGCAUUGAAUGCAAUGGCUUUUCUUCUCCAAAGACUCUUCAGGGAUUUUAUAUGAUCUUCUUGGCUGUCAACAAUGGAGCUGUACAGCUUCAUUAAAGCUUUGCAAAUAUUCAGCUACAAUAAGUGUCUCCUGCCUCUACUUCAUUCUGUGGGUGUUUUUUUCUAUUGACAGGAGUCAAUAGUAGCAUAUAUGAGGAAACAGAUAAAUAUAUAUCUAGCUAAUGAGAGGUAAAUGGCUCUUCAGAGCAAGUUGGCCUCACAGAUUUCCCCUUGUUCUGCGUUUUCUUCUUUUUUGAACAGACAUUCAGCUCUGCGCGUUAUCCCACUCACCUUGAGUGCGCCUGAAACCUCCAACCUCUCUUCAGUGUGUUUUCAGCGUUUUGCAAUGUCAGAUGUUGCUCACAGCUGCAACAGGAAUUAUCUUUUGUACUUCUUUAAAGUAAAAGCAAUUUAGAGCAUCUACAUCUGCAGAAACAGUAGCUCCUUGUGGAGCCCAACGCCCAAGAGGUGCUUGUUUUUAUACACUGUUGGGCUACAUCAAAGGCAGCAUUGUUGAGUAGUUAAUGAUUGCCUCUUAUGUCAGUUCUUAAAUGUUUUGUGUAGUGUCUUUAUUAUUCAUACCAAUCUGUCUUUUAGAUCAUCUUCCAUAGACACUCCAGAUUAAAUUUUCUUCAUUAUCAUUACAGAACUAGAUGAAUAAGUGGCACAUCUGUUCAUGAAGUGGUUUAUUAUCUGUUCUGAUGAGGUUUUGGAUGAAUAGCGGAAUGACUUAAAUAUGGAGCAGAGAAACACAUACAGGUUCAUGCAUAAUCUUGAAUUCAUAACCAGUAGUGCUAAGUCGAGGCAUCUGAUUUUACACAGAAGAGGUAAUUAUUAAUUAAUGAUCUGGGCCAAUUUAUCACAAGGGCCAACUUAAUGAAGGGACAAGACGAGACAGAAAACAAACCUGCAUGUGAGACAGCGCUAAUGAAGACCCAGGCAUUGUUUAACUGGUUCCUGCUCCAUCACUGCGAAGGAAAACUCUAUAAAUAUUUUAUAAACACGCCAUUUUCACCAUGUAAAACCAAAUUGCACCAAUAAAUCUAUUUAUCCAGAA
Molecule: long non-coding RNA, 5327 nt
Organism: Strigops habroptila (Kakapo)
Lineage: Eukaryota; Metazoa; Chordata; Aves; Psittaciformes; Psittacidae
Exons: 9
Source: RefSeq, a predicted model, not a curated record